This 441-nucleotide ribosomal RNA is filed under the name uncultured bacterium. RNAcentral's name for it is "bacterial SSU rRNA". It matches the Rfam family "Bacterial small subunit ribosomal RNA", at positions 338 to 795 of the family's 1533-position model. The record is from RNAcentral.
CCUACGGGUGGCAGCAGUGAGGAAUUUUCCGCAAUGGAGGCAACUCUGACGGAGCAACGCCGCGUGCAGGAGGAAGGUCUUCGGAUCGUAAACUGCUUUUCUCGGGGACGAGCAAGGACGGUACCCGAGGAAUCAGCCCCGGCUAACUACGUGCCAGCAGCCGCGGUAAUACGUAGGGGGCGAGCGUUGUCCGGAGUUACUGGGCGUAAAGGGCACGCAGGCGGUCGCUUACGUUUGGGGUUACAGCUCCCGGCUUAACCGGGAGAGCGCCUUGAACACGGGGCGACUUGAGGGCCAGAGAGGGACACAGAAUUCCGGGUGUAGUGGUGAAAUGCGUAGAUAUCCGGAGGAAUACCAAAGGCGAAGGCAGUGUCCUGGCUGGUUUCUGACGCUGAGGUGCGAAAGCUAGGGGAGCGAACGGGAUUAGAUACCCCUGUAGUC